GGGACCGAGAAACAAUACCCACCUCAGACUACGUGUAUGGAGUGGACCACCAUUGGCCUGAUGUUAUUUUUGACUAUCAUAUGCAUAGCAGCGGCGGCUGUCUUAAUAGUGUCCACGACUGCGGACGACUACUCGACUACAUCAACAGAUGAAGGCAAUGAGACGACCGGGAUUGAGCUCAAAAUACCCACGAUGGCCCGGGACGUGUUCACGACGCCACCUUAGGCAGUCCACUCCAAGUUAGGCGGCACAGUGUGCCUUUGCGCAGCAACACCCACGAGCAUCGACACACUGCUUUAUUUCUUUCCUUUUUUUCUUUCUUCUUAAGUUCUGAUUUCACUUGAAAUGUUGCACCAUGUCCUUGUAUUUUCUUUGCCGUGCAGCAGGUCUUGGUUUCUUGUAACCUAUAGUUGCAAGGCCCACGAGAGUCAAGACAUUUCCGAGCUGGUUUCGCUCGCUUUAUUUCCUGCUCGCGCUGAUACGAGUGGGACGAAUUUGGCGUCCUAUCUAUGGAGCCCAGUUAUUCGCUGCAUAACUCGCUAACCACGCUUUGUUAAAGUGUGUUAUGGCAUUAUAUGUAAAGCAUACUGCGAGUGGCGAGGGUUCUGCCGCGAAUUCGGCACGUAUAUUUGCAGUCUAACCGGAAUGAGGCAGUGGUGCACCUGUGACGUGCAAAGCUUGAUGAACGCAAUAAACUGACCAAAUGUGUCUGACGUUUCGCACAAACAUUCAAUGGCCCCGUUGCUUUUAGAACUAAGCUUUUUUUGCCUGUAUACCCUCCC
Dermacentor andersoni is the source of this 782-nucleotide long non-coding RNA. RefSeq lists it as uncharacterized. Lineage: Eukaryota; Metazoa; Arthropoda; Arachnida; Ixodida; Ixodidae. The record is from RefSeq and is a predicted model, not a curated record.